This is a long non-coding RNA of Heterocephalus glaber (naked mole-rat), 2094 nucleotides long. Lineage: Eukaryota; Metazoa; Chordata; Mammalia; Rodentia; Bathyergidae. The record is from Ensembl.
CAACAUUAUAUUCCUGGCUACACCACGUGGGUGUGUACCAUUAUUGUUGUUGGUUAAUUUGCAUUGUUUUAUGUCACUUCAUUAUACAACCAUGCCAUGGCUUAUUUACCCACUCCGUUUUUUUCUGGGUUUUGAAUUAUUUCCAAUGUUGGUUUUCUAUUUGCUUGUUCUAUAACCAAAGUCCCUAGAACAGUCUUAUUGAUGUCAUCUUAUUUGGUACCUAUGCAAGUAUUUUUCUAAAUUGUAAACCCAGUGAAGUGCAGAGUAAUAGUGUACGCACUUGCAAACUUGACUGGAUAAUGCCAGAUUGAUGUUCAAAGUGUUUCUAAUGAUUCCCGUUCCUGUGUGGGAGUUCUUGUCUCACACCGUGGCUAACACUGACAUCAUCAGAACUUCUCAUGUCUGCCGGUCUGGUGGGUGCAAAAUAGUAUCUCAUUGUGAUUUUAAUUUGCAUUUCUCUGAUUGCUGAUGAGACUGGAGCAUCUUCUCGUGUGUCUGACUUGAAUUUUUAAAUCUACUUUUAGACUAGAAAGGAACAAAGCUAAGUGGAGGGAGAGAAAUGGGAAGAGCUCUAUAUCCAACCCCUAACUGUGGAAAUUAUGACUCCAUAAUUGCCCAUAUCUGUGGCAGCUUUCCCCUGAUUGGAGCAAUUUAAAUAUGCAAAAUGAGCACUGCCCUUGAAUCCCCCCUCAGAGGCUUUAUCUUUCUGAUGCUGCUCAGGAUCUUUGAAGGGAAGGGGUCAUGUCAGAGCCAGAGCAUGGGAAAACACGGAAGGCUCUUAACUUUUUGGAAUGAAAGAUGUUUGUGAAUGUGUGGAAACUAAGUACAAUCAAAAAUUUCAAAAACCAAUUCGUAGAUUGGCCAGGUGAACUAAAAUGUGGCUUUUUCUUUCACUUAUUCAUCUCUUUCUCUCUCAUUUUCCUUCUGUCUCUUCUCCCUCCCUUUUUUCAUCCCUUCUCCCUUUUUUCCUUCCUGAUCACCACCCAGCUAAAUUGUCGUCUCAGUCCGAGUGUGUGCUGCUUCCUACUGGGGACAUCACUGCAGCCAAGCAGUAUUUUGGAUAUUUGUGAGGGUUUUCCUGGCACUCAUUGGCUAUGAACCAAAUAUGUGGUCAUCGAGACAGUCUCAAACAAUAAUAAAUGAUUCCCUAUAUGACAGAUCAUGAGAAAUUGAUCCAAUAAGCAGUGCGAGCCUGCAAUCUCACGGAGGCGGAGCAGGGAUUCCAGUUGGAAGGCUGUGACCAUCACCCCGGCUGGAAACACCAUGCACGCUGCCUCAUCCUCCCCAGGACUCAGGAGCAGGUUCUUGCGUGUGCUGUGUUCUUUACAUAUCACAGACCUACACGUGGAUGUAAGCAGGAGAAGUGGAUGCCAUGAGUCCACUCAUAGGAUUUUCAGUGUAACAUCAGAUGGCAGGCAGACAAGGCUGUGGCUGACACAAUCCUCUCUGGUCAGCCCAACAGAGUUGCUGAAGUGCUUGCUGGGACCAACAUAUGAUGAGGUGGUGAAGUGCAGUAUAAUUAAGACAGGGAAACAGAAAUGCUCAGAUGGACUGGAGGCUGGGUCUGUGAGCUCAGUUCACCAUAAGGUUCAAGUGGCCUAGAGAUGAGAAGAUCCUGUGGAAGGAGAAUAUAUAGCUUCCUUACAUGAAAUGAAGGAGAAAUGACUCAUACAAAGUCAGCCAAGUAUCUUCAAGAUCUGGGAAACAAUUUCACGUCAAGUCCAUAAUUUCUGUGCUAGCACAUACAGACCAUGACCACCUGACUCUUGAAGUAGUCGGUAUCUAUAUGUUUUGAAAUAAUCCUUCAGCUCUACUCUACCCCUGAUGAACAGUAACCUAGAAGAGUUCUACAAAGUGAAAGACUUUUUAUGAGUCUGUAGUUUGAGGAUGAACUAUUAUUUCAUCUUCAAAGGGCACACUAAAUGUAAAUGCAAUUGGUAUUUAAGAUGAUUUAACAUCAGAAAGACAGUAUCACAUAUGCAUGGCCUGGAAUAACAUCGGAAAUUUGGUGGGCGCUCUGUAGGCACUGGGGUCAUGAGGAGGAGCUGCCUUAGCUGUCAUCCAGAUGCAUUUGUGUUACCAUGGAAACAGGAG